UUUUUUUCUUAAUAGAGAUUGUAUUUAAUAUGGAUUCAUUAUAUAUCCUGAUCCUGAAUGAAAAGUUAUUAAUAAAAGCUUCCCAGCAGAAGGCAAGUUGUCUAAACAAGUGGCAAUAUAUAUAAUCAUUAAUGGCAUUUUAAGUACUGCAUAGUCUAUUUGGAAAAUGUUAUUCUUUUGCUGGAGAGUCAGUUUAUGGAUUAACAAACCUGACAAGGAAUGGAGUUGCUGACUUGUGGUAUGAAGCUUGUACUUUUAAAUUUUAACUAGUGAACUUGUAUGGCAUGCUUGAUUGAGCAGUGACAACACUACAUGCAGUACAGGUAUAUUAUACUAACUUGUAAAUAUUCUACAUUGAAGAGAAUUAUGUUAACCUUUUAUGUGGCAAUGGGCUCUACCUUAUUAUUUUUUCUGUCUAAUGCCAGACAAUUUUACUCAUGAAGGAGAGAGUGUUGCCACUCAAUGGGUUAAAGCCAACUUUCUGUAGAUGGAAAUUUUGAACAAUAACUAUGUAAUAAGUACUGUGCCGGGAAUGGAACCUGUUGCCCUGUGAUUCUGAACAGUUCCUUAACAGCCGAGAGUCCAUCAAGCCCUGAGAGUCCAAGCGCCAAGAAUCCAUCAAGCUAACCAAGAGUUCAUUUAUACAAUACUAGUGUCAUCCCGGUUUAUUUAAUAUACUACCAGUGACACCACUAUCAUGGUAUAAUUAUACAGAAAGUUACAUCUUGGCAAAAGGACUCUUUAGGUCAGAGGGCUGCAGUAGAAUUGCAGGGCUGCAGGUUCAAUUCAUGCUGGCAGGCUUGUAAUUGUAUUAAAACUGUCUGUAUACCAGUACCAGUGUGGGUAGUACCAAUGUGAAAUUGCUGUGCUGAGUGGUUAUAUUACUACCUGAAAAAAAAAGCAAACAGAAACUGAAUGUUUUGAGCAAAGACCCUUCGCUCGAAAUGUUGAGUUUCUGCUUGUUUUUUUUUUUAGGUAGUAAUAUAACCACUCAACACAGCAAUUGUAAUUGUAUUCCUUUGCAAUUGCUCUCACAUAGUUCUAAGGUACCUGUAGCUCUAGUUUAUUUAAUUGUCUUAUUAUAUUGUAAUGAUAUAUUUUUUAUUAAAUUCCAUGUAUAUAAUAUAUACAUGUUCAGUGAUGUAAGACUCACAAAUUUUCUUCAUUUUAAUGCAGUGUAUAGGUUGUGACAUUAAAUUGGUCGAAAUGA
This is a non-coding RNA of Paramuricea clavata, 1210 nucleotides long. Lineage: Eukaryota; Metazoa; Cnidaria; Anthozoa; Malacalcyonacea; Plexauridae. The record is from the annotation of a GenBank genome assembly.